Molecule: ribosomal RNA, 494 nt
Filed under: uncultured bacterium
Lineage: Bacteria
Description: partial 16S ribosomal RNA
Rfam family: Bacterial small subunit ribosomal RNA
Source: RNAcentral
GACGAACGCUGGCGGCGUGCUUAACACAUGCAAGUCGAACGGAAAGGCCUGCUUUCCCUUGUGGAUUGCGGGUACUCGAGUGGCGAACGGGUGAGUAACACGUGAGUGAUCUGCCCCCAACUUGGGUAUAAGCCUGGGAAACUGGGUCUAAUUCCCGAUAGGACUGCAGGGUGGUGCCUGUGGUGGAAAACGAUUUUCUAGUGGUUGGGGAUGAGCUCGCGGCCUAUCAGCUUGUUGGUGGGGUAAUGGCCUACCAAGGCGGCGACGGGUAGCCGGCCUGAGAGGGUGGACGGCCACAUUGGGACUGAGAUACGGCGCAGACUCCUACGGGAGGCAGCAGUGGGGAAUAUUACACAAUGGGCGGAAGCCUGAUGCAGCGACGCCGCGUGGGGGAUGACGGCCUUCGGGUUGUAAACUCCUUUCGACCGCGAGGAAGCCACCUGGUUGGAAGGGUGGUGACGGUAGUGGUAGAAGAAGCACCGGCUAACUACGUG